GGAGGGUGCAAGCGUUGUUCGGAAUUAUUGGGCGUAAAGAGCGUGUAGGCGGUUCGGUAAGUCAGAUGUGAAAGCCCUGGGCUCAACCCAGGAAGUGCAUUUGAAACUACCAGACUUGAGUACGGGAGAGGAGGGGGGAAUUCCCGGUGUAGAGGUGAAAUUCGUAGAUAUCGGGAGGAAUACCAGUGGCGAAGGCGCCCCUCUGGACCGAUACUGACGCUGAGACGCGAAAGCGUGGGGAGCAAACAGGAUUAGAUACCCUGGGUAGUCCACGCCGUAAACGAUGAGCACUAGGUGUAGCGGGUAUUGACCCCCCUGCUGUGCCGUAGCUAACGCAUUAAGUGCUCCGCCUGGGGACUACGGUCGCAAGACUA
This 374-nucleotide ribosomal RNA is filed under the name uncultured organism. Its description in RNAcentral is "partial 16S ribosomal RNA". It matches the Rfam family "Bacterial small subunit ribosomal RNA", at positions 527 to 896 of the family's 1533-position model. The record is from RNAcentral.